GUGUCAGCAGCCGCGGUAAGACGAACCGUCCAAACGUUAUUCGGAAUCACUGGGCUUAAAGGGUGCGUAGGCGGCACGGCAAGUUGGGUGUGAAAUCCCUCGGCUCAACCGAGGAAUUGCGCCCAAAACUGCCGCGCUCGAGGGAGACAGAGGUGAGCGGAACUUAGGGUGGAGCGGUGAAAUGCGUUGAUAUCCUAAGGAACACCGGUGGCGAAAGCGGCUCACUGGGUCUCUUCUGACGCUGAGGCACGAAAGCUAGGGGAGCGAACGGGAUUAGAUACCCCGGUAGUCCUAGCUGUAAACGAUGAGCACUGGGUCGGAGAGUCUUCCAUAACUUUCCGGCCGAAGCGAAAGUGUUAAGUGCUCCGCCUGGGGAGUAUGGUCGCAAGGCUGAAACUUAAAGGAAUUGGCGGGG
This 415-nucleotide ribosomal RNA is filed under the name uncultured prokaryote. RNAcentral's name for it is "bacterial SSU rRNA". It matches the Rfam family "Bacterial small subunit ribosomal RNA", at positions 505 to 918 of the family's 1533-position model. The record is from RNAcentral.